This 489-nucleotide ribosomal RNA is filed under the name uncultured bacterium. RNAcentral describes it as "bacterial SSU rRNA". It matches the Rfam family "Bacterial small subunit ribosomal RNA", at positions 29 to 507 of the family's 1533-position model. The record is from RNAcentral.
AACAAACGCUGGCGGCGUGUCUUAAGCAUGCAAGUUGAGCGGCAAGGAGGAGAGAUCCUCCUAGAGCAGCGGACUGGUGAGUAACGCGUGGGUAAUCUAUCUUAGGCAUGGGGAUAGUCACUAGAAAUAGUGGGUAAUACCGAAUAAGUUCCAUAAGGGGAGGACUUAUGGAAGAAAGGUGCUACGGCACUGGCCUUAGGUGAGCUCGCGUCCCAUUAGCUAGUUGGUGAGGUAAAGGCCCACCAAGGCGAUGAUGGGUAGCCGGCCUGAGAGGGUGUACGGCCACACUGGGACUGAGAUACGGCCCAGACUCCUACGGGAGGCAGCAGCUAAGAAUAUUCCGCAAUGGACGGAAGUCUGACGGAGCGACGCCGCGUGGAUGAAGAAGGCCGAAAGGUUGUAAAGUUCUUUUGCUAGGGGAGAAUAAGUGUGGGAGGGAAUGCCUGCACGAUGACAAGGACUAGCGAAUAAGUCCCGGCCAACUACGUG